AACGAACGCUGGCGGCAGGCCUCAAACAUGCAAGUCUAGGGGGUGUAGCAAUACAUCACCGGCGGACGGGUGCGUAACGCGUGGGAAUAUACCUAUCGAUUCGGAACAACUGAGGGAAACUUCAGCUAAUACCGAAUACGUCCUAACGGAGAAAGAUUUAUCGUCGAUAGAUUAGCCCGCGUUCGAUUAGCUAGUUGGUGGGGUAACGGCCCACCAAGGCGACGAUCGAUAGCUGUUCUGAGAGGAAGAUCAGCCACACUGGGACUGAGACACGGCCCAGACUCCUACGGGAGGCAGCAGUUGGGAAUCUUGGACAAUGGGGGAAACCCUGAUCCAGCCAUGCCGCGUGAGUGAUGAAGGCCUUCGGUUGUAAACGUCUUUCGCGCACGACGAUAAUGACGGUAGUGCGAGAAGAAGCUCCGGCUAACUUCGUGCCAGCAGCCGCGGUAAU
RNAcentral lists this ribosomal RNA (451 nucleotides) under uncultured bacterium. RNAcentral describes it as "bacterial SSU rRNA". It matches the Rfam family "Bacterial small subunit ribosomal RNA", at positions 29 to 524 of the family's 1533-position model. The record is from RNAcentral.